RNAcentral lists this small RNA (28 nucleotides) under Bombyx mori (domestic silkworm). RNAcentral's name for it is "ovarian small RNA-12855". Lineage: Eukaryota; Metazoa; Arthropoda; Insecta; Lepidoptera; Bombycidae. The record is from RNAcentral.
CAAGUGCUUGCAAAAUUUUAAUUACCAA